RNAcentral lists this ribosomal RNA (253 nucleotides) under uncultured bacterium. RNAcentral's name for it is "partial 16S ribosomal RNA". It matches the Rfam family "Bacterial small subunit ribosomal RNA", at positions 524 to 776 of the family's 1533-position model. The record is from RNAcentral.
UACGGAGGGUGCAAGCGUUAAUCGGAAUUAUUGGGCGUAAAGGGCGCGUAGGUGGGGAGGAAAGUCAGAUGUGAAAUUCUCAGGCUCAACCUGAGACCUGCAUUUGAAACUUCCUUUCUUGAGGAUAGACGGAGAAAACAGAAUUCCACAAGUAGCGGUGAAAUGCGUAGAUAUGUGGAAGAAUACCGGUGGCGAAGGCGGUUUUCUAGUUUACUCCUGACACUGAGGCGCGAAAGCAAGGGGAUCAAACAGG